This 2345-nucleotide long non-coding RNA is filed under the name Pelobates cultripes (western spadefoot toad). Lineage: Eukaryota; Metazoa; Chordata; Amphibia; Anura; Pelobatidae. The record is from RNAcentral.
CUUACCUAUACCAUUAAAUUAAAUGCAGUUAAACUGUGUAUACAAUUAAAAAAAAAAAAAAAGGAAAAAAACAAAACAAAACAGGUUUCUGUUCAUUUGGGGCAUAUUUGGUCACAAUGGCUUUCGAAAAAAAGGACAUCAAAUAUUAGCAAGUGUUCCUAUCCAAGAUGUGACUUACAUGUCUAGCAUGGUUUAAGAAACAUCCUUAAGUUUGUUCAAGAGGAAAACGUUCCCCUCUGAAUCCCUUCCCUCUGACCAAAGGGAGCGGAUGCCAGCUUCAGUCCUUGUCAAUGCCAUGCAGAAGCUCAGUGUGCAAGUAAUGAACAUUCCUCGUAACUCCUUUUUGUUUUAAUCCUGUGUCAAAUGCUUGGGUCGUGUGUAUUUGAAUGUCCUCUUCCUCCAGGCAGUACAUGAACUUCCGGUGAAAUGUGAUUUUCUAUCUUGACCGUUUCCAGAUUCCCCUGACUUUUUCCAGUAAUACCUUCUGCAGAGUACAUGCAGUUUUGACCUAGGAACCUUGCUGUACUAGAUAAAGCAACACUUUCCAAGUGAUUUUUUUCUGUCCUGUGGACAGGAUCCCUUUGCUUUCGAUGGCCGCUGUUGGAUAUGUUAUAUUUUGGGCUCAAAUUGCUCAGAAGUUCUUUGGAGGGACAAGAAUCCAAUCCAUCUAACAGCUGGCCCUCAUCAUCUGUGUCGGCGUCUAUAUAUUUAUGUACAUUAGCAUCGUGAAAAGUAAAGGCUAUUGCCAUCUGUUUUUCAGGAGACUUGGAAGGCGUUCGAGCACUAGCUGUCGUGUACAUUGAAGUUUCAGGACUCCUUACCGACUGGUCAGAAAACAAAGAACUGUCAAAUUUAGAGUGAAUUUCUCUAUGCCCUGAGGGGCUUAAUAUAUUGGUGGUAGGUAAAAGAUCACUUGUAUCACCUUCCAGAAAAUUUACUUUUAGAGACCUUAACAUUAGAGGGUUUUUAACCUUUACUAAACCUUUGGGACUGUCUAAAAUGAAUGUGGAAUGGCGGCUUCCAUCGGCUUUGGUGUACAUUUCAGUGAAGCUUUCUCCACUGACAUUCAUAGAUAGUGGUCUAUCCCUUCCGUCUUUAAUUUCACGAGAUAUAUCCCUCCCAGGAUUUAUAUUAGACCUGUAUGGAAGAACUGCAAAUGGACUAUGAGAGAACCUUCCAGAUUCUGGAAAAUCAGCAGUACAGCUAAUGAAACUGUCUAUGCUGGACAUGCUUCUCAUAUCAACAAUGCCUUCCUUGUGAGUUGUCAAAAGUGGGAUUGCCGGACCUGGGAUUGUCUCCAUUUCAAGUUCUUCUGUUGGUUUGCCCGUCUGAUUGGUCUCUUUUGAUGUAAGUAUGGGCUGGGAUUGUGUUUUUGCCAUUUUGUUGUACAUAUCUUCUAACUGCUGGACAUUGAGGUGUUGUGGACUUGAGCAAGAUCGAGACUUCUCUGGAGAACCCUGAUCUUUCCCAUCAAAAGACUUAUUGGAACUUGUCUCUGACAGGGUCCUCUUUGUCCAUUUCCAUUUGUUGGGUGAUAAGUGGUUAUCCUGUACUUUCUCCUUCGUUCCUGUAUCAUCAUCAGUCUUUUCAACUACUACAUCCAUAAGUUCUAUACUCCGGGCAAAGGCAUCUUUCAUAUUCAUUGAGACAAUGCUACCAUUUCGUUUGGCUCGUUCAAGAGCUUCUCUUCGUUUAAUGGCUUUCUCCUGACGCUUUUGUUCCUUGUAGAAUUCUGAGAAAUUGUUUACUAUAAUAGGAAUGGGAAGAGCUAUUACCAAUACUCCAGCAAUACAACACAAACCUCCAACUAUCUUACCUAGAAGAGUUUUUGGGUAAAUAUCUCCAUACCCAACAGUAGUCAUUGUAAUGGUAGCCCACCAGAAAGACGCUGGGAUGCUUUUGAAUUUUGUGUCAUCUUCAUCUUUUUCCGCAAAAAAUACCAAGCUUGAGAAAAUCAUAAUUCCCAUGGCAAGAAAUAAAAUGAGCAAUCCAAGUUCAUUAUAACUUCUUCUCAACGUGAAACCCAAGGACUGCAGACCCGUUGAGUGCCUGGCCAACUUUAGAAUUCGUAGUAUUCUCAUAAUACGGAAAAUCUGCACCACUCGUCUAACGUUUUGGAACUGAAGUACACUUUUGUUGGAUUCUGUGAGGAAUAUUGUGACAUAGUAUGGUAAGAUUGCUAACAAGUCAAUGACAUUAAGAGGUCCCUUAAAAAACUUCCAUUUAUUAGGUGAAGAUAAAAAUCUGAGGAGGUAUUCCAUUGUAAACCAUGCGAUGCAGACUGCUUCCACAUGUGCAAGCUGGGGAUUGUCUGUGCUUUGUCCAAAUUCAUCUGUACCUUGUAG